Molecule: long non-coding RNA, 782 nt
Organism: Leopardus geoffroyi (Geoffroy's cat)
Lineage: Eukaryota; Metazoa; Chordata; Mammalia; Carnivora; Felidae
Exons: 2
Source: RefSeq, a predicted model, not a curated record
CGGGAGGCGGGCAGCCCGCCUGCGGUUGGGGGAACGGAGCCGCGUCACCGCCGGAUUCCCCAGCCCCCCUGCACAAGGUCUCCUGGGGCUGCAGCCUCCCGCCCCAGGUCCCGCCCUGCUGCGCCCUCCCUUGCCGGGCGCCUCCCGCCCGCGUCUGCUCUCACCGCAUCGUCGCUGCAGGAGGAAGAGAGACCGGGAGCGAGGGGUUAACAUGGGCCUGUGUCCUGUCCUGCCAGCCCAACAGCUCCCCCGUCCUCGGGUCCUAGGAGGUCUGAUUCCCAAACUUCCGUCGUGCAGACACCCGGGAGUCCUGUCUCCACCUCCCCUCUCAGGCCGUGUGCCCAGCCUCGCAGGAUCCAGGUGUGGCCCAGACUCUCGCAGGCAACAGCACAGAGAAACCCACUUCUAGUUUACUUGGAACUAGGUCUCCUCUCUUGACCACCCUAGGCCCUCCCCUUCCCCAGCCCUGGAGACAAGACUGAGGACAGGAAAGCUACACGGGCACACGGAGAAGAGGACCCCGCUCUCUUUACUUGGACCAUGUGGGUGCUGACUAGCCCUGGAGAGCAGACCACCCCAAACCCCAGUUAAAACAGGACCUCUGGCGACAAGGGGACCACACGGAGGGCCUGAGCCUCAGGGCCAGAUCGCCAGGCUGUGUGUAGAGGCUCAGGAAUGGGAUGGAGAACUCUGAGAGAACCAUCUAGAAUUCUAAGAACAGACUAUAGCAUCCCAGGAAUGUAAUCUGAAAUUCUAGCAACACCUCUGAAGCUGAUUGAGAA